UUUCUGUUUAACAGCCUGCC
Molecule: small nuclear RNA, 20 nt
Filed under: Arabidopsis thaliana (thale cress)
Lineage: Eukaryota; Viridiplantae; Streptophyta; Magnoliopsida; Brassicales; Brassicaceae
Description: snRNA_16326
Source: RNAcentral